Molecule: ribosomal RNA, 465 nt
Filed under: Vreelandella stevensii
Lineage: Bacteria; Pseudomonadati; Pseudomonadota; Gammaproteobacteria; Oceanospirillales; Halomonadaceae
Description: partial 16S ribosomal RNA
Rfam family: Bacterial small subunit ribosomal RNA
Source: RNAcentral
CCUACGGGGGGCUGCAGUGGGGAAUAUUGGACAAUGGGCGAAAGCCUGAUCCAGCCAUGCCGCGUGUGUGAAGAAGGCCUUCGGGUUGUAAAGCACUUUCAGUGGGGAAGAAAGCCUUGGGGCUAAUACCCUCGAGGAAGGACAUCACCCACAGAAGAAGCACCGGCUAACUCCGUGCCAGCAGCCGCGGUAAUACGGAGGGUGCGAGCGUUAAUCGGAAUUACUGGGCGUAAAGCGCGCGUAGGCGGUCUGAUAAGCCGGUUGUGAAAGCCCCGAGCUCAACCUGGGAACGGCAUCCGGAACUGUCAGGCUAGAGUGCAGGAGAGGAAGGUAGAAUUCCCGGUGUAGCGGUGAAAUGCGUAGAGAUCGGGAGGAAUACCAGUGGCGAAGGCGGCCUUCUGGACUGACACUGACGCUGAGGUGCGAAAGCGUGGGUAGCAAACAGGAUUAGAUACCCCAGUAGUC